This is a long non-coding RNA of Bactrocera latifrons, 767 nucleotides long. RefSeq lists it as uncharacterized. The transcript has 2 exons. The record is from RefSeq and is a predicted model, not a curated record. NCBI's taxonomy places the organism in Eukaryota, Metazoa, Arthropoda, Insecta, Diptera, Tephritidae.
GUGGACCUAAGCAAACAUUCAAAUKGAAGUGUAAUUAUUGUCUCAGCCACGAUCAGCCCACGAUCGCGUUGAAGCGCUUGCAACGAAAUGCGRCGAUGACUAGAAGCGCGCGGUCAGUGUGUGUAGUACCUGUUGUUGACAUUGAUUUCUAUAAUUUUUGCUGUUGUAAUACAACAAACAAUCGCUUGCGCUACAAGGAAGUGACGGCAAAGUACACGAUCAACGCUUGAUCAUAGUUUUUAGAGGGGAACAAGGGAUGUACAUACGUUUCUUAUAAUUUUGUGCUAUUGUUUUUUCCAUGGCGGUGAUCGCGCGUCGAAAAGAUCAGUUUGGACGAGGUAUUAGACGAAGAUAUGGGGCGGAAACGAGCUAAGAAAGCGAGUGAAUGGAGUUCUAGGAGGAAGCGUAGGGCUUACUGAUACAAUUAAUCAAUGCGUUGCAGAUAUGUAUGUCGGUUGAGGUGUUGAAGAACAACAAAGGAAAGUGCAAUGAAAUGCUGCUGUUAAUUUUCYAAAGAAAACCGUGCUUAGAUACUUCCAUUAACAGUUGUUAGCUGAGAAAAUUACAGUUUGGGAAAAAUAUAAUUGCCAGGAACGUGUGAAAAGGCUUUAAAAAUUAUAAGAAGUAAUAAAAUGAGGUAAACUACAAAACACAACGCGAUCCUCUGAUCCUCUACAUGAAAAUUAACUGAGAAUUAAAGUUUCAAGAAUCAAAUUAUGCAAAAAAUAUAUAUUUUCUUUUCAAAUAAAUCAAAAUAUGUUUAGAAA